RNAcentral lists this ribosomal RNA (253 nucleotides) under uncultured bacterium. RNAcentral describes it as "partial 16S ribosomal RNA". It matches the Rfam family "Bacterial small subunit ribosomal RNA", at positions 524 to 776 of the family's 1533-position model. The record is from RNAcentral.
AACGUAGGAUCCGAGCGUUGUCCGGAAUCACUGGGUGUAAAGGGUGCGUAGGCGGGCUUGCGCGUCAAGGGUUAAAGACCUCGGCUCAACCGAGGGAAUGCCCUUGAUACGGCAGGUCUUGAGUGCGGGAGAGGAAGGUGGAAUUCCUGGUGUAGCGGUGAAAUGCGUAGAGAUCAGGAGGACCACCGAAGGCGAAGGCAGCCAUCUGGACCGCCACUGACGCUGAGGCACGAAAGCGUGGGGAGCAAACAGG